CCUACGGGAGGCUGCAGUGAGGAAUAUUGGUCAAUGGGCGCGAGCCUGAACCAGCCAAGUAGCGUGAAGGAUGACUGCCCUACGGGUUGUAAACUGCUUUUAUGAAGGAAUAAAGUGAGGCACGUGUGGCUUUUUGUAGGUACUUCAUGAAUAAGGAUCGGCUAACUCCGUGCCAGCAGCCGCGGUAAUACGGAGGGUCCGGGCGUUAUCCGGAUUUAUUGGGUUUAAAGGGAGCGCAGAGGGGCUGUUAAGCGUGUUGUGAAAUUCUGCGGCUCAACCGUAAAAUUGCAGCUGAUACUGGGAGUCUUGAGUACAGCUGAGGUAGGCGGAAUUCGUGGUGUAGCGGUGAAAUGCUUAGAUAUCACGAAGAACUCCGAUUGCGAAGGCAGCUUACUAUAUCGUUACUGACACUGAUGCUCGAAAGUGCGGGUAUCAAACAGGAUUAGAUACCCGAGUAGUC
RNAcentral lists this ribosomal RNA (460 nucleotides) under uncultured bacterium. RNAcentral describes it as "partial 16S ribosomal RNA". It matches the Rfam family "Bacterial small subunit ribosomal RNA", at positions 338 to 795 of the family's 1533-position model. The record is from RNAcentral.